RNAcentral lists this transfer RNA (77 nucleotides) under Marmota monax (woodchuck). Its description in RNAcentral is "tRNA.Val". The record is from RNAcentral. Lineage: Eukaryota; Metazoa; Chordata; Mammalia; Rodentia; Sciuridae.
UUAAGGGUUUAGCUAAGUGGUAGAGCAUUUGCCUCACAUGUGCAAGAAGGUGCUGGGUUCAAUCCUCAGCACUGAAA